Molecule: ribosomal RNA, 454 nt
Filed under: uncultured bacterium
Lineage: Bacteria
Description: partial 16S ribosomal RNA
Rfam family: Bacterial small subunit ribosomal RNA
Source: RNAcentral
GAUGAGCGCUGACAGAAUGCUUAACACAUGCAAGUCAACUUGAACUUCGGUUUGGGUGGCGGACGGGUGAGUAACGCGUAAAGAACUUGCCUCACAGAUAGGGACAACAUUUGGAAACGAAUGCUAAUACCUGAUAUUAUGAUUUUAGGGCAUCCUAGGAUUAUGAAAGCUAUAUGCGCUGUGAGAGAGCUUUGCGUCCCAUUAGCUAGUUGGAGAGGUAACGGCUCACCAAGGCGAUGAUGGGUAGCCGGCCUGAGAGGGUGAUCGGCCACAAGGGGACUGAGACACGGCCCUUACUCCUACGGGAGGCAGCAGUGGGGAAUAUUGGACAAUGGACCAAGAGUCUGAUCCAGCAAUUCUGUGUGCACGAUGAAGUUUUUCGGAAUGUAAAGUGCUUUCAGUUGGGAAGAAAAAAAUGACGGUACCAACAGAAGAAGUGACGGCUAAAUACGUG